RNAcentral lists this long non-coding RNA (321 nucleotides) under Rattus norvegicus (Norway rat). RNAcentral describes it as "long non-coding RNA NONRATT026488". Lineage: Eukaryota; Metazoa; Chordata; Mammalia; Rodentia; Muridae. The record is from RNAcentral.
UACAAGCUCGACAGGGGCGACAGCACCCUCCUUCCUCUUGCUCUGGCCUGCUUCUGGCUCCCACUUAGGUGGGAGUCCUAAGUCUACACUGCCCCCUCACCCCUGCCCCUCCAGCACUCCUAAGAGCAAAAGACCACUUCUCUCCUUCCCGGGUCUACACACACCCACUUCCACAUUCCCCAGUCUGCCACCAAGCCAGACGAACUGCCACAUGGAAUCGGGCCCAUGUGUCAAGAACUGCAUCGGCAGGCAGUACAUCUCACUGCAGCUUGCACAGGGACUCUGGAAGGCCUCAAUCCUUUCUGAGGCUGUGCCAGACCC